AAUAGAUACCCGGGUAGUCCACGCCGUAAACGAUAAUCACUAGAUGUUAGUCUGGUUUACCGGAUUAGUAUCGAAGCUAACGCGUUAAGUGAUUCGCCUGGGGAGUACGGUCGCAAGGCUAAAACUCAAAGGAAUUGACGGGGGUCCGCACAAGCGGUGGAACAUGUGGUUUAAUUCGACACUACGCGAGGAACCUUACCUAGGCUUGACAUGUUUUUGACCGCCAUAGAAAUAUGGCUUUCUAAGCUUCGGUUUAGACAGAUUCACAGGUGCUGCAUGGCUGUCGUCAGCUCGUGUCGUGAGAUGUUGGGUUAAGUCCUUUAACGAGCGCAACCCCCGCUAUCAGUUGCAAUUGUCUUCGGAUGGAGCACUCUGAUAGGACUGCCUGGGAAACCAGGAGGAAGGUGGGGACGACGUCAAGUCAUCAUGGUCCUUAUGUCUAGGGCUACACACGUGUUACAAUGGCUAGUACAAAGGGCAGCAAGACCGCAAGGUUAAGCAAAUCCCAUAAAGCUAGUCUAAGUUCGGAUUAGGGUCUGCAACUCCG
This 547-nucleotide ribosomal RNA is filed under the name uncultured bacterium. RNAcentral describes it as "bacterial SSU rRNA". It matches the Rfam family "Bacterial small subunit ribosomal RNA", at positions 777 to 1314 of the family's 1533-position model. The record is from RNAcentral.